Molecule: long non-coding RNA, 4227 nt
Organism: Camelus dromedarius (Arabian camel)
Lineage: Eukaryota; Metazoa; Chordata; Mammalia; Artiodactyla; Camelidae
Gene: ZNF664
Product: zinc finger protein 664
Exons: 4
Source: RefSeq, a predicted model, not a curated record
AGCGCCUCGCGUCCCAGCAGAGCCAGACGAGCAUCCCACUCAGGUGAUGAGGAACCCUUCGCGCACCCAGCACACAGCGCUGCUGCCGCUGGACGCCUCCAUUGUUUGACCAUAACAAGGGCCGGAUUCUCACCCAGGAUCCUAAGGCUUUUGUUGCCCUUCAGCCACUGUGGGCCCUGCCUCUGCCUCUUCUUCUGGAAUGUCUUGGGGGUUUUGGCUUCUGUCACUUGACCUGCAACUCCAAGAGACACAUCUGUCUGGAAGAUAAGAGCUCCUUCCUCAAGACCAGAAAAGUAUUUGUAUUUACGUUUCUGUUACAGGCGGCUGGAGUGAUACGUGUGUGGGGAGCCUUCACAAGGAAGGACUGGCGUACCUGGACCCGAGGAGCUUGCUUCCUGCGAGGGCUCCUGUCUGAUGCGCAGGAGGCAGAAUGUCACAGUGACUCUGCGAGGGGAGGCCCCAGGGGACCGAGAGCAGCACACAGUGUCUCACCCUCUGCCACGAGGGGCGCUGUGCAGUCCUUUUCCUACAAGUGAGAAGUACCAGGCUGUUCUCCAAGAGGAAGAGUCCAGGGGCUUAGAAACACAGAGGCUUGCACCUUGGGAGCCCCUUGGAAUGUUGACAACUCAGGAUCUAAAAGAAAGUGCUGUGUUAAUGAGUUACAGAGUUCAUGUGGACGUAAAUGUCACUUUAUAACCAAUAACGAUACUGAGUGAGGAACACUAUGCAGGAAGAAACCUUCCAUAGGAAGGCAGGCAGGGUGAAGCUGAGGCUGACCUUAAACCUACCGAGCAGAGCGAGCCUGGGAUAAGCGCCAACAUGGCCGAGUGAGAGACUCUGCACAGUAGCGGUCCUGUAGCUAGAGCAGUUGUAAGGAAAUUUUCCCCUCUAAAUCACGAUACCAAAUAGGAAAAAUGAUCUACAAGUGCCCCAUGUGUAGAGAAUUCUUCUCUGAGAGAGCAGAUCUUUUUAUGCAUCAGAAAGUCCACACUGCUGAGAAGCCCCACAAAUGCGACAAGUGUGAUAAGGGCUUCUUUCACAUAUCAGAGCUCCACAUUCACUGGAGGGACCACACGGGAGAGAAGGUCUAUAAGUGUGACGACUGCGGUAAGGAUUUUAGUACUACAACGAAACUUAACAGACAUAAGAAAAUCCACACGGUGGAGAAGCCCUAUAAAUGUUAUGAGUGUGGCAAAGCCUUCAAUUGGAGCUCACAUCUUCAAAUUCACAUGAGAGUUCAUACAGGUGAGAAACCCUAUGUCUGUAGUGAGUGCGGAAGAGGCUUUAGCAAUAGUUCAAACCUUUGCAUGCAUCAGAGAGUCCACACCGGAGAGAAGCCCUUUAAAUGUGAAGAGUGUGGGAAGGCCUUCAGGCACACUUCCAGCCUCUGCAUGCAUCAAAGGGUGCACACAGGAGAGAAGCCCUACAAGUGUUACGAGUGUGGGAAGGCCUUCAGCCAGAGCUCGAGCCUCUGCAUCCACCAGAGGGUGCACACCGGCGAGAAGCCCUAUAGGUGCUGUGGGUGUGGGAAGGCCUUCAGCCAGAGCUCCAGCCUCUGCAUCCACCAGAGGGUGCACACCGGCGAGAAGCCUUUUAAAUGUGAUGAGUGUGGGAAGGCCUUCAGUCAGAGCACUAGCCUCUGCAUCCACCAGAGAGUGCACACAAAGGAGAGAAACCAUCUCAAAAUAUCAGUUAUAUAAAGCGUUUCGCUAAGAGUUAAAAAUCUUAAAACCCGUAAGUGCCACUAGGAAGGAAACCCUGUAAAUACCUACAUUGACCCAAGAAAUCUUUACAGCAAGCCCCAGCAGAACACUGUUUUCGAGGAGGCAUGUGUGAGCUUGAUUUUGGGGAUUCAGGCCAAGUGUGUUCCGCAGCUUGACUUUGAAGCUGGGGUCCCUCCGAGCACCUGCCCAGGACAGGCUGUGAGGCCCCAGUUGUGGACGUGUGUUUCCUGGGGUUCUGGCGCGAUGCUCCAGUAGCUGAAAUACUGCCCGGGAACCUGUGAUCACUGCCCAGCCUCCUGGGUCACCUAUGCUUUCCCUAACAGUUGCCCCAGGUAUCAUAUCCACGCCCCCUCUCCCGGUUUCGGGAGCUCAAGACCUUCCUUCUCUUGCCUCGAGCAUACUGGUGAACGCGUUUGGGAACGGCCAGCUCCCACCGAGUAGUGUCCUGGUAUUUCUGAGGUUAACACUUGAUCCAGCCUCUACAUGUCUGUCCAUAUAUCCCAUUAUUUCUGAACUCACUUUACCUGUGUGUUCUCAAAACACCCAUAGAUACCCACCCCUUCCUAGAUGGCAUUAAAUUCCAUUUUAGAUUUCAGGCGACUCAUAAUUUCCAUUCACUUUGCCUGUCAGAGAAAUUGGCAGACAUACAUGCCCUUGAACCUUCCUUGAACUCUUUUUAAUUUUGUGAAUUCUGCUAAUCACUGUGUCUCUGUUUAGUCAGACUUAAUUUUCUAGUGGCUACAUCACAUAUUUUUAACUUGAAUUUUUUUUUUUUUUUUGAAAUAGCUGAAUGUAAAUAGGGAGGAAGAAGCAAGCAAAGUUAGAACUUUUCUCCAUCCAGAAUUGCCCUCUUGGGCUCCUCCGGCGACGCGCGGGGCUCCUCCCCAGCUCGGGGAGGCCGUGGGAGGCAGGAGGCGUCGCUAACUAGUCUCUGUUUCUGUAAUUUUGGGCGAUGAGGUGUCGGAGUCCUCGACACCCCUUCACUGAGGAGGGUGUACCAGUUCCCGUUCAGGCGUGAAUGUUUCUGUUAGUCUCUCCUUUUCUUCAUCCAUUCAACAAGCAUUGACGGAACGCCGCCCGUGUGCCGGGCGCUGCGCUGGGCGCUGGGAGCAGCGCGGAGGAAGACAGACAAGGGCCCUCCUCUCGUGGAGUUGCUUCUGCUGGAGGAGACGGAUGAUGAGCGAACAAUAACGUAGUUUGAGAUAGUGAUUAAGUGCUAUGAGGAACAUAAACUAGGGUGACGAUUUAGCGCGGUGGGGGGUGGGGGCGGGGGGCGUUAGUAGCGGUCAGGGAGGCCUUCCUGGGGGCGGCCGGGCGGCGGGCGCAGGCGCUGCGGGGCCGGGCGGGGGCGGCCUUGCCCGCCAGCGCGGAGCGGGAGGCCGGCGGCCGGGCCCGAGUGUAGUGAGCAGUGGGGAGGGGGCGAGGUACUGAGCUGCUCAGUAUCCUGACAUUUAUAGGCCUUUUUUUUUUUUCCGGCUAGAUUGAUGUUAAAAACUCAUGUGGAGGAACUCAAGGAAUGUUUAGAAGACCAAAAGUCCCCAAUGACAAGAACAAAAAGCAACUAAUUUUUAACUUUGUUUUUCUUCUCAUUCCUGUUUUCAUUGAUUUCCCACAUGUAGUCCUUCUGCUCAGGAAGUCUUUGGGGAAAAUUAAGGCUCUUUGAGGCUCUGAAGUGGGUGAUCACGUUAGCAGUGUCUGUCCACUGUCUGAGAGGUUGGAAAAUGAACUACCCAAAAUAGUCAUCGAAGUACUAAAACGAAGUGUGAUUUUUCUCUUCAUAUUUGAAUUGAUUUUUUCUGUUGGACUGGAAGGGGUUUUUCUGUAACUAAAACCUCAACGCAUAAAGGGGGUUAAAAGGAGCACGUACCUUACUGGGUGAGCCGCGAACUAGAGAUGGGAUCUGGGGGUGCGUUUGUUACUGUCUGAGGUUUAACCCAGACGCCUCAGCACACCUUUGGGGAGUCACUGCUCAUGCGUCUCCUCCUUUUUGCAAAGAGAGGGCUGGCUUAGUUAUUGGAUAAAGCCCCUUCCAGGCCUGAAUUCCUCGACUAUGAUUUACUGUGGUGUCUUAACACUCUUUCAUGUCACAGCAGCGUGGAGCUUUAGAGAAAAGCCUAGACUUUUAGUUGAUAGAGAGCCAGCUGAAAUAUCACUGAUAGACUUUUAGUUUUAGGAAAAGUUGGUUUGAUUUCUAGCUUUGUUACUAUUAGGUAUGUGAGCUUGGGCAAAUCGCUUGAUCUCAGUCUAGUUUUCUCAUGUACACGAUGAGGACAUUAGGCUAAAUGAUUUCCGAGUUUCCAGCUAGUCCUAGAGUUCUAUAUUUCUACAUAGUUGAAUUAUUUUAUCAUGCUGUUGCUGGGGAAUAUGACUAACACUUUUGAAGCUACUAAUUUUAUGUCGAGCUUUAAAGUCCAUAAUUGUUAUCUUCAGAAAAUAUUAUUUGACCUACAGUAUGUCCAAAUCAAUUUAAUAAAAUCACUUUAUAACAGGGUUCUGUGCUUGA